GAUGAAGAACGCAGCGAAAUGCGAUAAGUAAUGUGAAUUGCAGAAUUCAGUGAAUCAUCGAAUCUUUGAACGCACAUUGCGCCCCUUGGUAUUCCGAGGGGCAUGCCCGUUCGAGCGUCAUUAUACCCCUCAAGCCUAGCUUGGUGUUGGGGCCUGCUGUUACCGGCAGCCCUUAAAAUCAGUGGCGGUGCCAUCUGGCUCUAAGCGUAGUAAUACUUCUCGCUACAGGGUCCCGGUGGAUGCUUGCCAUCAACCCCUAAUUUUCUAUGGUUGACCUCGGAUCGGGUAGGGAUACCCGCUGAACUUAAGCAUAUCAAAAGCGGAGGA
This 327-nucleotide unclassified non-coding RNA is filed under the name soil metagenome. RNAcentral describes it as "partial contains 5.8S ribosomal RNA, internal transcribed spacer 2, and large subunit ribosomal RNA". The stretch from base 1 to 120 matches the Rfam family "5.8S ribosomal RNA", at positions 35 to 154 of the family's 154-position model. The record is from RNAcentral.